Molecule: ribosomal RNA, 428 nt
Filed under: uncultured bacterium
Lineage: Bacteria
Description: bacterial SSU rRNA
Rfam family: Bacterial small subunit ribosomal RNA
Source: RNAcentral
UGGGGAAUUUUGGACAAUGGGGGCAACCCUGAUCCAGCCAUGCCGCGUGCGGGAAGAAGGCCUUCGGGUUGUAAACCGCUUUUGUCGGGGAAGAAAUCUUCUGAGCUAAUACCUCGGGAGGAUGACGGUACCCGGAGAAUAAGCACCGGCUAACUACGUGCCAGCAGCCGCGGUAAUACGUAGGGUGCAAGCGUUAAUCGGAAUUACUGGGCGUAAAGCGUGCGCAGGCGGUCUUGCAAGACAGAUGUGAAAUCCCCGGGCUCAACCUGGGAACUGCAUUUGUGACUGCAAGGCUGGAGUGCGGCAGAGGGGGAUGGAAUUCCGCGUGUAGCAGUGAAAUGCGUAGAUAUGCGGAGGAACACCGAUGGCGAAGGCAAUCCCCUGGGCCUGCACUGACGCUCAGGCACGAAAGCGUGGGGAGCAAACAG